Non-coding RNA from Cinara cedri, 215 nucleotides. Lineage: Eukaryota; Metazoa; Arthropoda; Insecta; Hemiptera; Aphididae. The record is from the annotation of a GenBank genome assembly.
AAAGACCCAUAAGGAGCAGAGUUCCGUUACUAAAAUCGCAUUUUCCCCACCUAUUUUGUAUUCUUUGUAGUAAAACAAUAAAUAACCAUAAACUAUAAUAAUACUAUAUACUAACAAAAAUAUUUACUGUAAAAAUAGUAAAAGCGGUGGUUGAAAGUUGAAACUCCAAGAGGCUCAUCCUUGAUACUAAACACCACACAUGUACAAAAUUGCAU